UGAGGAAUUUUGCGCAAUGGGCGAAAGCCUGACGCAGCGACGCCGCGUGGAGGAAGACGGCCUUCGGGUUGUAAACUCCUGUCAGGGGUGAAGAAACUUCGCAAGAAGCUGACGGUAACCCCAGAGGAAGCCCCGGCUAACUACGUGCCAGCAGCCGCGGUAAUACGUAGGGGGCAAGCGUUGCUCGGAAUUACUGGGCGUAAAGGGAGCGUAGGCGUUCUAUUAAGUCUUGAGUGAAAGCCCGCAGCCUAACUGCGGAACUGCUCAGGAAACUGAUAGAAUUGAGUAUGGAAGAGGUCAGUGGAAUUUCCAGUGUAGGGGUAAAAGCCGUAGAUAUUGGAAGGAAUACCAGAAGCGAAGGCGACUGACUGGGACAUUACUGACGCUGAGGCUCGAAAGCGUGGGGAGCAAACA
This 414-nucleotide ribosomal RNA is filed under the name uncultured prokaryote. Its description in RNAcentral is "bacterial SSU rRNA". It matches the Rfam family "Bacterial small subunit ribosomal RNA", at positions 355 to 774 of the family's 1533-position model. The record is from RNAcentral.